UUUAUUUAAUACUAAUUUUCCUUUUCUCAAAUCAUAAACAAAAAAAGAUUUGUACAAAUAAUUUUGAUAAAUUCUCGAGGAGAGUCAUUUAUAUUUUAUCUUCACAAACAUAGUCAUUAAUAAAUAAAAUUACCAAAAUAAUUUUAAUUAAAGAUUAAAAAUAUAUUUUUAUCUUAGGGUUAAUUAAUCUAAACUUAUAGUAUAGAGUUAAAGGGUAAGUUCUUGGAGUUAUGGUUUCAAAUUUUAAAAUAUUUAAAAAUAAAUAUUAAAAUUUUUAAAAUAAAAUGAAGCUAUUUUGGUCAUUUUCUUCCUCGAGAGCUAUUUUGUGACAAAAACUUAAAAAUAACUAUUUUUAAUACUAAUUUUCCUUUUCUAAAAUAAUAAAGAAAAUAUAACUGUAAAGAAUUGAUAGUAAUUAUCCUUUUUUAAAAAAAAAAUUGACCAAAAAAUUGUAAAAAGUGUUUAAUGUUAAUUUUCCUUUAUUCAAAUCUGAUUUUUAGAAAAAAUAGGUAAAAGUAAUUUUUGUUUUUACAAAUCCUAUACCAAAACUGAUUUGUAUGUUCUUUUCUUCUUAUAAACUGAUUUGAUUGCGAAUAAAUGGUCCUCUAAACAAAAUGUUACAAAAAGUCAAGAAAAUCGAUAACUUAAAUUCACCAUCUGUAAGACAUAGCUAUAACACCUUAUACUGAUUUUAAAUUUGAACUCACACAAAUAACCAAAGAAUUAAUAACGAACCACUUAUUUCUUUUGAGUUCUCACACUAAACAAGACCUUCAAGAACGAAUCCACGCUGCACACUCCAAGUCUACAUCUAUAGGCCAAGUACACAACAAUCUAUCAUUGAUUUCAACAAUCUAUCAUUGGUACUUAACUGUAUAAGUAUGUUUCCCAAAUAAAACUUCAUGUUAAAUUCCAACUAAAUUAACUUUGUUACGACUAUCGGCUAUUUAUUCUACUUUUAUUGAAUCGAUUAGUCAAAACUACUUAUGUUAUUCCAUUUUGAACUAAGCAACUUCAAAACAAAGUAAUACACUACAUUCGCUAAUCACUAUCAAAUGGAUCGAAAAAUAUCAUUAUCUUCUAAUAUAUUUUCAUUUUUAUAUUUUUGAACAUAUUUUCUUUACUAAAACCAUAAAAUGAAUUGUAAAUUCAUGUAAAAAUAAAAUAUACGAAUCCGGUGCGUAACGCCAGAAUAACACUAGUAUAUAUAUAAUCAUAGAACAUGUCCUUAAAAGCUAAACAAGCAAGUAUACAAAAAUGAGAAGGUGCAUAUGAUCAAAAAUUAAAUAUUUAGAAAUAAGCAAAUAAAUGCCCUACCAACCACGUUGGUCAGAAAAUAUAUUUUAAAAAAAUGUAUGUGUUUUCCCUUCCGGCUUUCUUAUCUAAAUGCAAGGCUACGUUGGGGUAUGUUUCUGUUGUUGCUAAUUUAUCUGCAGUUCUACAACCAUCAUUAAUCACACUCAGUGAUUUCCAUCUCACUUUAUCAUCAGACAUAUUUACCCAUUUGGAUUAAUAAAUUAGAAAUGCCCUACCAUUUACCACGUUUCACAUGCAGAUUGAUCCAGCUUGUUACUUUCUCUAACAUUUAUUUCACCUGUUUUCAGAUAAUCGUAACCCAAAUAAAAAUCGAAGCAAAACUGUUCAGUGGCGCUAAUCCAUCCAUAUAUCACUAUUCGACAGUCUCACCUACAAAUGAACGAAUAAUAAAGAAGUCAUUCAUUAAAGUAUGAAAUGUAAAAACGCAAACCAACACUACAAAAGAAAGUGUGGAUUGUAUCACUUAAAUUGUAUCAGUUAAAUAAAUGAUCUCAUUUUAAAUCACUUAUUCCUAAAUGAGACAAAUAUUAAUAAUUUGAAAUCAAUUAUAGGAAUUGAUGUUAUUAUUAACUAAUGUUGCAUCAGUUCAGUAAAAUGAUAUAUUUUUUCAUUAAUUUGUAUCACUUUAAUAAAAAUGAUAUUAUUUUAUAAAUUUAUAUCAUUUAAAUAAUUGAUGUAUGUAUUAGUUUGGUUAACAUCACUUAUUAACAUGAUACAUAAUUGACAUCAGUUAAAAAUGAUACUAGUUAAAAUUAUAUAAUUAUAUUUUCAUCAAUUUACUAAAAUAAUAUUAUUUACUUUAGGUUGCCUCUAAAUAUUUGAAAGUAGAAAAUUAAUUUGCAUUAAUAAAAUAAUUAAUUAACAGAUAUAUAACGUAAUAUUAACAUGGAAUUAUGUGUAGCAAAGCAAAUCUAUUGCAAUCCCAAAAAAAUAGGAACCACGAACACGUCCAGUUGAAACAACUGAUCACUUGAACCAAUCGUUAAAAUUAGUUUUCUACAAAUAUUAACGAUACGAGAAGUAGUUAAUAUCUUGUGGCUUUAAUGAAUGCAUCUUAUUUUCUUUUUUUUGUCAAGAUCCUCUCUCAUUAAGCCUUCGUCUUCCUCUUCAGUUCUUAAACUUGUUUAUGAGUUUAAAAUUUAUUGUUCUAACAUUAACAAAUUUUAACAAGCAUCAAACAUUUAUUUCUCAUAUGAGUCAUGAUGUUUGAUUUUGUUUCUUCUUGUGGAGGAUAUGACAAAGAGACCAAGGUUUGCUAAUCAGACUAAUACGCUGGAAAACUCUCAAAAGGAAUUGGAGUCUUCGAAUAUUUUAGAAGUUGACUCAAAAUCUGGAAAAAGAGUAGACGUCAGAGAAUAUUGACGGGUGGAUAGUUAUACGAUGAAUCUCGUUAACUCAGCUUCAUACCAUCAACUGAGACGAAGAAUGGAAAUAGAGAUAUAAAGAUCUAGAAGAAGAAGAAGAAAAGAAGGCAAAAAAACAAUGUUGAAGUUUCUUCAAUGUAAUUUUUUUAAUUUUGUUUUUCUGCUUAUACGUUAGAUUGUAAUUUUUAAUGGAAAUAAAAUUAAAAAUUGAUUAAAUAAAAUAUUUUAUUUAUUUAUUAA
Brassica napus (rape) is the source of this 2921-nucleotide long non-coding RNA. RefSeq lists it as uncharacterized. The transcript is spliced from 2 exons. The record is from RefSeq and is a predicted model, not a curated record. NCBI's taxonomy places the organism in Eukaryota, Viridiplantae, Streptophyta, Magnoliopsida, Brassicales, Brassicaceae.